Homo sapiens (human) is the source of this 512-nucleotide long non-coding RNA. The record is from Ensembl. Lineage: Eukaryota; Metazoa; Chordata; Mammalia; Primates; Hominidae.
CGGGUGUUUCCUUGUUCGGAAUGGGGUUGGCUCCUCUUUGAUUUUUUACUUCUGGUGACCCACGCAAAAGCAGUCCCGACCUGGUUGUAUUAAUAAUAAAGGCUGUAAGGAUCAGCCUUUUGAACGGUCCAGCCGAGAACUAACCACAGAGCGCGUUUUAGUGGAGUGGUACUUAUUUUUAAAUAAGAUACUGAGUUUACUACAAAUGGAAGGUUUGAGGCAACCUUGAUGGAGCAAGUGUAUGGGUGCCAUGUUUUUCCAACAUCAUGUGCUCACUUUGUGUCUCUGACAUAUUUUGAACGCAAGACUAUAUUUACUAGCAGCUCUGUGUCCUUGCUCAUUGGAAAAUGAUCUUUCCUCAAGACUUGCUGACACGUUUCUGUUUAAGGCAUGACAAUCCUAAAGGCCAACAAUUGUGGACGGGGGCAACUCUUCCUUUCAUUAUGUACUGGUGUAGUCAAUUAUGCAAAGUCUGGUCAACCAAAGACCACCAGGCUCAAGCCAUCAGUUUU